UACGUAGGGGGCUAGCGUUGUCCGGAUUUAUUGGGCGUAAAGCGCGUGUAGGCGGCCAGGUAGGUCCGCUGUGAAAACCCGAGGCUCAACCUCGGGACGUCGGCGGAAACCAUCUGGCUAGAGUCCGGAAGAGGAGAGUGGAAUUCCCGGUGUAGCGGUGAAAUUCGUAGAUAUCGGGAGGAACACCAGUGGCGAAGGCGGCGUUCUGGACUGCAACUGACACUGAGGAACGAAAGCCAGGGGAGCAAACGGG
RNAcentral lists this ribosomal RNA (253 nucleotides) under uncultured bacterium. RNAcentral's name for it is "partial 16S ribosomal RNA". It matches the Rfam family "Bacterial small subunit ribosomal RNA", at positions 524 to 776 of the family's 1533-position model. The record is from RNAcentral.